UACGAAGGGGGCUAGCGUUGUUCGGAAUUACUGGGCGUAAAGCGCACGUAGGCGGAUCGAUCAGUCAGGGGUGAAAUCCCAGAGCUCAACUCUGGAACUGCCUUUGAUACUGUCGGUCUAGAGUAUGGAAGAGGUGAGUGGAAUUCCGAGUGUAGAGGUGAAAUUCGUAGAUAUUCGGAGGAACACCAGUGGCGAAGGCGGCUCACUGGUCCAUUACUGACGCUGAGGUGCGAAGGCGUGGGGAGCAAACAGG
This 253-nucleotide ribosomal RNA is filed under the name uncultured bacterium. RNAcentral describes it as "partial 16S ribosomal RNA". It matches the Rfam family "Bacterial small subunit ribosomal RNA", at positions 524 to 776 of the family's 1533-position model. The record is from RNAcentral.